UGGGGAAUAUUGGGCAAUGGAGGAAACUCUGACCCAGCGACGCCGCGUGCGGGAUGAAGGCCUUCGGGUUGUAAACCGCUUUCAGUAGGGAAGAAGCGAAAGUGACGGUACCUACAAAAGAAGCACCGGCUAACUAUGUGCCAGCAGCCGCGGUAAUACAUAGGGUGCAAGCGUUGUCCGGAAUUAUUGGGCGUAAAGAGCUCGUAGGUCGUUUGUUACGUCGGAUGUGAAAACCUGAGGCUCAACCUCAGGCCUGCAUUCGAUACGGGCAAACUAGAGUUUGGUAGGGGAGACUGGAAUUCCUGGUGUAGCGGUGGAAUGCGCAGAUAUCAGGAGGAACACCAAUGGCGAAGGCAGGUCUCUGGGCCAAUACUGACACUGAGGAGCGAAAGUCUGGGGAGCAAA
Molecule: ribosomal RNA, 405 nt
Filed under: actinobacterium SCGC AAA278-I18
Lineage: Bacteria; Bacillati; Actinomycetota; Actinomycetes
Description: bacterial SSU rRNA
Rfam family: Bacterial small subunit ribosomal RNA
Source: RNAcentral